UACGUAGGGUCCGAGCGUUGUCCGGAAUUAUUGGGCGUAAAGAGCUCGUAGGCGGCUUGUCACGUCGGGUGUGAAAGCCCGGGGCUUAACCCCGGGUGUGCAUUCGAUACGGGCUAGCUAGAGUGUGGUAGGGGAGAUCGGAAUCCCUGGUGUAGCGGUGAAAUGCGCAGAUAUCAGGAGGAACACCGGUGGCGAAGGCGGAUCUCUGGGCCAUUACUGACGCUGAGGAGCGAAAGCGUGGGGAGCGAACAGG
This 253-nucleotide ribosomal RNA is filed under the name uncultured bacterium. RNAcentral's name for it is "partial 16S ribosomal RNA". It matches the Rfam family "Bacterial small subunit ribosomal RNA", at positions 524 to 776 of the family's 1533-position model. The record is from RNAcentral.